AUUGAACGCUGGCGGCAGGCUUAACACAUGCAAGUCGAGCGGGGGAAGGUAGCUUGCUACCGGACCUAGCGGCGGACGGGUGAGUAAUGCUUAGGAAUCUGCCUAUUAGUGGGGGACAACAUCUCGAAAGGGCUGCUAAUACCGCAUACGUCCUACGGGAGAAAGCAGGGGAUCUUCGGACCUUGCGCUAAUAGAUGAGUCUAAGUCGGAUUAGCUAGUUGGUGGGGUAAAGGCCUACCAAGGCGACGAUCUGUAGCGGGUCUGAGAGGAUGAUCCGCCACACUGGGACUGAGACACGGCCCAGACUCCUACGGGAGGCAGCAGUGGGGAAUAUUGGACAAUGGGGGGAACCCUGAUCCAGCCAUGCCGCGUGUGUGAAGAAGGCCUUAUGGUUGUAAAGCACUUUAAGCGAGGAGGAGGCUACUUUAGUUAAUACCUAGAGAUAGUGGACGUUACUCGCAGAAUAAGCACCGGCUAACUCUGUGCCAGCAGCCGCAGUAA
Molecule: ribosomal RNA, 501 nt
Filed under: uncultured bacterium
Lineage: Bacteria
Description: partial 16S ribosomal RNA
Rfam family: Bacterial small subunit ribosomal RNA
Source: RNAcentral